AUGUCAAGCUCGGCGUAUAUGGCGAAGAUGAAAAGCCUCAGCGAUGAACUAGCUGCUGCCGGCUGUCCCGUCUCUGAUCCGGAGAUGGUGGACUACAUCUUGGCCAGACUAGACCGCGACUACGACUCCGUGGUGGUGGCGAUCGGCGCUGUCAAGAACACCAUCACCGCCGAUGAUCUUUUUGCUCAGAUCUCCGCCUUUGAUCAAAGGAUGGAGAUGCUAGGCGACUCAGCUUCAGGCGGGUUCCACUCAUCUGCUAAUGCGGUCUACAGGGGCCGUGGACAGUCUCGCGGCAGAUACCGCGGGCGAGGAGGAAGGGGGCGUGGCCGCGGUUACCGCCAGCCCUCGUCUUCCAAUGGAGGCAGCGGCUUCAGAGGGCGCCCUCGACAGCAGCAACAACAGCAGCAGGUGCGUGAGCAGCAACAUGAUUAUCCUGAGUGUCAAAUAUGCUUCAAACAUCAUCCAGGAGGUGCUCGGGUCUGUUGGUGGCGCUAUGAGGAGAACAACCCAGAAGAAAAAGAAGCGCAUGCUGUCUCCUAUGGCGUGGACACAAAUUGGUAUGCCGAUAGUGCAGCAACAAACCACAUCACAGGUGAACUUGACAAAUUGACGAUGCGGGAGAACUACAAUGGAGGCGACCAAAUUCGCACGGCAAGCGGUUCUGAAUUCUACCCUUAUUUUUUCUUGGUCAAGGACUUGAGGACAAGGAGAAUCAUUCUUAGAGGACAAUGCGUGGGAGGCCUCUACCCACUCAUAUCAUCAUCAUCAUCAUCAUCAUCUUCAUGGUCAAAUAAACAAGCAAAUAGUGUCACCAAGAUUUCUUCAUCAAGGUGGCAUAGUCGCUUGGGUCAUUCAUCUUCAGUCAUAGUUAGACAUGUUCUUAGCAAAAAUAAACUCUCUUAUGAGCCUAGUGUUGAGUCAGUUUGUGAUCCGUGUCAACAAGCAAAAAGUCAUCAAUUACCUUAUCCUAUUUCUACUAGUGUGUCCACUGCUCCCCUACAACUUAUCUUUUCAGAUGUAUGGGGGCCGGCUCCUACUUCAGUUGGUAGAUUUUCCUAUUAUGUAAGCUUUAUUGAUGACUAUAGUAAAUUUACUUGGAUUUAUUUACUAAAGAAACGAUCUGAUGUAUUCCAAGUUUUUAUCAAUUUCCAAAACCUUGUUGAACGCAAACUGAACUCCAAAAUCAUUGCUAUGCAAAGUGACUGGGGUGGUGAGUAUGAAAAAUUGAAUUCUUUCUUCCAAAAACUUGGCAUAUCCCAUCAUGUCUCUUGCCCUCAUGCUCACCAACAGAAUGGGUCUGCUGAAAGAAAGCACCGUCACAUAGUUGAUAUGGGGCUUGCAUUAUUAGCAAACGCAUCCAUGCCACUUAAAUUUUGA
Molecule: ribosomal RNA, 1377 nt
Filed under: Triticum aestivum (bread wheat)
Lineage: Eukaryota; Viridiplantae; Streptophyta; Magnoliopsida; Poales; Poaceae
Description: partial small subunit ribosomal RNA
Source: RNAcentral